GACGAACGCUGGCGGCGUGCUUAACACAUGCAAGUCGAACGGAAAGGCCCUUGGGGGUACUCGAGUGGCGAACGGGUGAGGAACACGUGGGUGAUCUGCCCUGCACUUUGGGAUAAGCCUGGGAAACUGGGUCUAAUACCGAAUAGGACCACGCGCUUCAUGGUGUGUGGUGGAAAGCUUUUGCGGUGUGGGAUGGGCCCGCGGCCUAUCAGCUUGUUGGUGGGGUAAUGGCCUACCAAGGCGACGACGGGUAGCCGGCCUGAGAGGGUGACCGGCCACACUAUUACUGAGAUACGUCCCAGACUCCUACGGGAGGCAGCAGUGGGGAAUAUUGCACAAUGGGCGCAAGCCUGAUGCAGCGACUCCACGUGAGGGAUGACGGCCUUCGGGUUGUAAACCUCUUUCAAUAGGGACGAAGCGCAAGUGACGGUACCUAUAGAAGAAGCACCGGCCAACUACGUG
This 462-nucleotide ribosomal RNA is filed under the name uncultured bacterium. RNAcentral's name for it is "partial 16S ribosomal RNA". It matches the Rfam family "Bacterial small subunit ribosomal RNA", at positions 28 to 507 of the family's 1533-position model. The record is from RNAcentral.